AUCAAAGUGACGGCGGAUGAACGCUAUUCAUCAUUCCAUAAAUGGCAAAACGCAAUGGCAGUAACUGCGUAGC
Plasmodium vivax (malaria parasite P. vivax) is the source of this 73-nucleotide non-coding RNA. The record is from the annotation of a RefSeq genome assembly. NCBI's taxonomy places the organism in Eukaryota, Apicomplexa, Aconoidasida, Haemosporida, Plasmodiidae.